Molecule: ribosomal RNA, 389 nt
Filed under: uncultured bacterium
Lineage: Bacteria
Description: bacterial SSU rRNA
Rfam family: Bacterial small subunit ribosomal RNA
Source: RNAcentral
AGCGAACGCUGGCGGCAGGCCUAACACAUGCAAGUCGAACGGAUCCUUCGGGAUUAGUGGCGGACGGGUGAGUAACACGUGGGAACGUGCCUUUUGGUUCGGAACAACUCAGGGAAACUUGAGCUAAUACCGAAUGUGCCCUUGGGGAAGAUUUAUCGCCAUUAGAGCGGCCCGCGUCUGAUUAGCUUGUUGGUGAGGUAAAGGCUCACCAAGGCUACGAUCAGUAGCUGGUCUGAGAGGAUGAUCAGCCACAUUGGGACUGAGACACGGCCCAAACUCCUACGGGAGGCAGCAGUGGGGAAUAUUGGACAAUGGGCGGCAAGCCUGAUCCAGCCAUGCCGCGUGAGUGAUGAAGGCCUUAGGGUUGUAAAGCUCUUUCGGCGGGGAAG